RNAcentral lists this ribosomal RNA (258 nucleotides) under uncultured bacterium. RNAcentral's name for it is "partial 16S ribosomal RNA". It matches the Rfam family "Bacterial small subunit ribosomal RNA", at positions 96 to 354 of the family's 1533-position model. The record is from RNAcentral.
CGGCGGACGGGUGAGUAACGCGUGGACAACCUGCCCUAUGCAGGGGGAUAACAUCCGGAAACGGGUGCUGAUACCGCAUAAGCGCACAGUACCGCAUGGUACGGUGUGAAAAGCUGAGGCGGCAUAGGAUGGGUCCGCGUUGGAUUAGGCAGUUGGCGGGGUAACGGCCCACCAAACCAACGAUCCAUAGCCGGCCUGAGAGGGUGGACGGCCACAUUGGGACUGAGACACGGCCCAGACUCCUACGGAAGGCAGCAG